This is a non-coding RNA of Equus caballus (horse), 322 nucleotides long. Ensembl annotates it as small Cajal body-specific RNA 7. Its record names the gene SCARNA7. The record is from Ensembl. Lineage: Eukaryota; Metazoa; Chordata; Mammalia; Perissodactyla; Equidae.
UGGAAAUGAUGAAAUAGAGAUAAUUGGGUGUUGAAUGUUGUGUGAGUGGAAAUUUUGAAUACGUAAGUUAAGUAAUUAAUAUUUUAUAGGUACUUAGUAGAGAGUGUGUGUGCAUGUGUGUGUGCUGCUCCUGCUGGCUAUGGGAAGGGGGCGCUGACUGGUGAUGCUGAUACUGGAGUGCAUCUGAGGCUGUUGUAGAAAUUCAUGGGUUGUUGAUUACAACAUUGCCGAUGAUUAUAACCCAAGAACAGCUCACCUAAGUAGCCUAGCACCCUAAAAUCUCUGACAGGUUCAUUAAACAUGCUCCUGUGAUCUGAUCCAG